Molecule: ribosomal RNA, 346 nt
Filed under: uncultured Pelotomaculum sp.
Lineage: Bacteria; Bacillati; Bacillota; Clostridia; Eubacteriales; Desulfotomaculaceae
Description: bacterial SSU rRNA
Rfam family: Bacterial small subunit ribosomal RNA
Source: RNAcentral
ACAGGUGCUGCAUGGCCGUCGUCAGCUCGUGCCGUGAGGUGUUGGGUUAAGUCCGCAACGAGCGCAACCCCUACGUUUAGUUGCUAACGCGUGAAGGCGAGCACUCUAGACGAACUGCCGUUGACAAAACGGAGGAAGGUGGGAUGACGUCAAAUCAUCAUGCCCUUAUGUUCUGGGCUACACACGUGCUACAAUGGCCGGUACAGACGGACGCAAAGCCGCGAGGUGGAGCAAAUCCUAAAAAGCCGGUCUCAGUCCGGAUUGCAGGCUGCAAUUCGCCUGCAUGAAGUCGGAAUCGCUAGUAAUCGCGGAUCAGCAUGUCGCGGUGAAUACGUUCCCGGGUCUU